GAUGAACGCUGGCGGCGUGCCUAAUACAUGCAAGUCGAGCGAACAGACGAGGAUCUUGCUCCUCUGACGUUAGCGGCGGACGGGUGAGUAACACGUGGAUAACCUACCUAUAAGACUGGGAUAACUUCGGGAAACCGGAGCUAAUACCGGAUAAUAUAUUGAACCGCAUGGUUCAAUAGUGAAAGACGGUUUUGCUGUCACUUAUAGAUGGAUCCGCGCCGCAUUAGCUAGUUGGUAAGGUAACGGCUUACCAAGGCAACGAUGCGUAGCCGACCUGAGAGGGUGAUCGGCAACACUGGAACUGAGACACGGUCCAGACUCCUACGGGAGGCAGCAGUAGGGAAUCUUCCGAAAUGGGCGAAAGCCUGACGGAGCAACGCCGCGUGAGUGAUGAAGGUCUUCGGAUCGUAAAACUCUGUUAUUAGGGAAGAACAAAUGUGUAAGUAACUAUGCACGUCUUGACGGUACCUAAUCAGAAAGCCACGGCUAACUACGUG
This 497-nucleotide ribosomal RNA is filed under the name uncultured bacterium. RNAcentral's name for it is "partial 16S ribosomal RNA". It matches the Rfam family "Bacterial small subunit ribosomal RNA", at positions 28 to 507 of the family's 1533-position model. The record is from RNAcentral.